UACGUAGGGUGCGAGCGUUAAUCGGAAUUACUGGGCGUAAAGCGUGCGCAGGCGGUUCGUUAAGUCAGCUGUGAAAGCCCCGGGCUCAACCUGGGAACUGCAUUGGUGACUGGCAGGCUAGAGUAUGGCAGAGGGGGGUAGAAUUCCACGUGUAGCAGUGAAAUGCGUAGAGAUGUGGAGGAAUGCCGAUGGCGAAGGCAGCCCCCUGGGCCAAUACUGACGCUCAUGCACGAAAGCGUGGGGAGCAAACAGG
Molecule: ribosomal RNA, 253 nt
Filed under: uncultured bacterium
Lineage: Bacteria
Description: partial 16S ribosomal RNA
Rfam family: Bacterial small subunit ribosomal RNA
Source: RNAcentral